This is a non-coding RNA of Otolemur garnettii (small-eared galago), 81 nucleotides long. NCBI's taxonomy places the organism in Eukaryota, Metazoa, Chordata, Mammalia, Primates, Galagidae. The record is from Rfam.
GCCUGCCCGACACUCUUUCCCUGUUGCACUACUGUGGGCCACUGGGAAGCAGUGCAAUGAUGAAAGGGCAUCGGUCAGGUC